RNAcentral lists this ribosomal RNA (944 nucleotides) under Fictibacillus phosphorivorans. RNAcentral's name for it is "bacterial SSU rRNA". It matches the Rfam family "Bacterial small subunit ribosomal RNA", at positions 36 to 964 of the family's 1533-position model. The record is from RNAcentral. Lineage: Bacteria; Bacillati; Bacillota; Bacilli; Caryophanales; Fictibacillaceae.
CUGGCGGCGUGCCUAAUACAUGCAAGUCGAGCGAAUGAUGAGGAGCUUGCUCCUCUGAUUUAGCGGCGGACGGGUGAGUAACACGUGGGUAAUCUGCCUGUAAGACGGGGAUAACUCCGGGAAACCGGGGCUAAUACCGGAUAAUAAGAGAAGAAGCAUUUCUUCUUUUUGAAAGUCGGUUUCGGCUGACACUUACAGAUGAGCCCGCGGCGCAUUAGCUAGUUGGUGAGGUAACGGCUCACCAAGGCGACGAUGCGUAGCCGACCUGAGAGGGUGAUCGGCCACACUGGGACUGAGACACGGCCCAGACUCCUACGGGAGGCAGCAGUAGGGAAUCUUCGGCAAUGGGCGAAAGCCUGACCGAGCAACGCCGCGUGAGCGAUGAAGGCCUUCGGGUCGUAAAGCUCUGUUGUUAGAGAAGAACAAGUACGAGAGUAACUGCUCGUACCUUGACGGUACCUAACCAGAAAGCCACGGCUAACUACGUGCCAGCAGCCGCGGUAAUACGUAGGUGGCAAGCGUUAUCCGGAAUUAUUGGGCGUAAAGCGCGCGCAGGCGGUCUCUUAAGUCUGAUGUGAAAGCCCACGGCUCAACCGUGGAGGGUCAUUGGAAACUGGGAGACUUGAGUGCAGGAGAGAAAAGUGGAAUUCCACGUGUAGCGGUGAAAUGCGUAGAGAUGUGGAGGAACACCAGUGGCGAAGGCGGCUUUUUGGCCUGUAACUGACGCUGAGGCGCGAAAGCGUGGGGAGCAAACAGGAUUAGAUACCCUGGUAGUCCACGCCGUAAACGAUGAGUGCUAGGUGUUGGGGGGUUCCACCCUCAGUGCUGAAGUUAACACAUUAAGCACUCCGCCUGGGGAGUACGACCGCAAGGUUGAAACUCAAAGGAAUUGACGGGGGCCCGCACAAGCAGUGGAGCAUGUGGUUUAAUUCGAAGCAACGCGA